Molecule: non-coding RNA, 264 nt
Organism: Vicia faba (fava bean)
Lineage: Eukaryota; Viridiplantae; Streptophyta; Magnoliopsida; Fabales; Fabaceae
Source: the annotation of a GenBank genome assembly
AUGGGAAGCAAACGUCAAUGCAAGAUGUUGAAACCUCACUUGAAUACAAUAGAAGAUGAUCAAGCACCAAAUGAAAUUCAGAAGAAUGAUGAUUUGUCUACUGAUAUUCAGGUUAAAGGGGGGAAGAAAGUCUCAUCUAAAGACAUUGAUCGUAGAUCCAAUACUAAGAAGGUCAAUGGGAUUUUUCGACCAAAGAAGAUGAAGAAAUACAGAUCUCUUGCUGAUAUUUACAAGUUGACAAAACCCAUUGAUAUUGAAAAUUAA